Molecule: ribosomal RNA, 189 nt
Filed under: uncultured bacterium
Lineage: Bacteria
Description: partial 16S rRNA
Rfam family: Bacterial small subunit ribosomal RNA
Source: RNAcentral
CCUACGGGAGGCAGCAGUAAGGAAUAUUGGUCAAUGGGGGAAACCCUGAACCAGCCAUGCCGCGUGCAGGAAGACGGCCCUACGGGUUGUAAACUGCUUUUGCACGGGAAUAACCCUCAUUAUGUAUAAUGAGCUGAAUGUACCGUGAGAAUAAGGAUCGGCUAACUCCGUGCCAGCAGCCGCGGUAAU